RNAcentral lists this ribosomal RNA (264 nucleotides) under uncultured archaeon. RNAcentral's name for it is "partial 16S ribosomal RNA". It matches the Rfam family "Archaeal small subunit ribosomal RNA", at positions 719 to 982 of the family's 1478-position model. The record is from RNAcentral.
AGUCACUGACAUUAGAUACCCGGGUAGUCCAGGGUGUAAACGCUGCAGACUUGGUGUUGGAAGUCCUUUGGGGGCAUUCAGUGCCGGAGAGAAGUUGUUAAGUCUGCUACUUGGGGAGUACGUCCGCAAGGAUGAAACUUAAAGGAAUUGGCGGGGGAGCACCGCAACGGGAGGAGCGUGCGGUUUAAUUGGAUUCAACACCGUAAACUCACCAGGGAAGACUGUUACAUGAAGGCCGAGAUGAAGACUCUGCUAGAUUUUCAG